This 484-nucleotide ribosomal RNA is filed under the name uncultured bacterium. RNAcentral's name for it is "bacterial SSU rRNA". It matches the Rfam family "Bacterial small subunit ribosomal RNA", at positions 8 to 518 of the family's 1533-position model. The record is from RNAcentral.
AGAGUUUGAUCCUGGCUCACGAUGAACGCUGGCGGCGUGCCUAAUACAUGCAAGUCGAACGGACAUCGCAAGAUGUUAGUGGCGACCGGGUGCGUAACACGUAGCUGACCUGCCCCUCGACGGGGGACAACAGCGCGAAAGUGCUGCUAAUACCGCAUACAUUCAGGGUAUUUAGAAAACCUUGAAGAAACUUACGGGGUCGAGGGAGGGGGCUGCGGCCCAUCAGGUAGUUGGUGAGGUAACGGCUCACCAAGCCAACGACGGGUCGGGGGCCUGAGAGGGUGGCCCCCCACACUGGGACUGACAACGGCCCAGACUCCUACGGGAGGCAGCAGUAAGGGAUAUUGCGCAAUGGGGCCGAAAGCCUGACGCAGCAACGCCGCGUGGAGGAUGAAGGCUUUCGGGUCGUAAACUCCUUUGGACGGGGACGAGGAAGGACGGUACCCGUCAAACAAGUCACGGCUAACUACGUGCCAGCCGCCGC